Molecule: ribosomal RNA, 497 nt
Filed under: uncultured bacterium
Lineage: Bacteria
Description: partial 16S ribosomal RNA
Rfam family: Bacterial small subunit ribosomal RNA
Source: RNAcentral
GAUGAACGCUGGCGGCGUGCCUAAUACAUGCAAGUCGAGCGAACAGACGAGGAGCUUGCUCCUCUGACGUUAGCGGCGGACGGGUGAGUAACACGUGGAUAACCUACCUAUAAGACUGGGAUAACUUCGGGAAACCGGAGCUAAUACCGGAUAAUAUAUUGAACCGCAUGGUUCAAUAGUGAAAGACGGUUUUGCUGUCACUUAUAGAUGGAUCCGCGCCGCAUUAGCUAGUUGGUAAGGUAACGGCUUACCAAGGCAACGAUGCGUAGCCGACCUGAGAGGGUGAUCGGCCACACUGGAACUGAGACGCGGUCCAGACUCCUAAGGGAGGCAGCAGAAGGGAAUCUUCCGCAAUAGGCGAAAGCAUGACGGAGCAACGCCGCGUGAGUGAUGAAGAUGUUCGGAACGUGAAGCUCUGUUAUUAGGGAAGAACAAAUGUGUAAGUAACUAUGCACGUCUUGACGGUACCUAAUCAGAAAGCCACGGCUAACUACGUG